AGGAUGGUAUCCAUGCGGAACCAUACCUUGGAAAAUCUUUUUUUGCCAGUAAAAUAUUUUCUAUACCGCUUGGAGCCGGACGGACCGAGACGGGGGU
Molecule: regulatory RNA element, 97 nt
Organism: Desulfotomaculum sp.
Lineage: Bacteria; Bacillati; Bacillota; Clostridia; Eubacteriales; Desulfotomaculaceae
Rfam family: pan motif
Source: Rfam